UCCAAAGGAUGACCUGAGUGUUAUUUUAGCAGUCAUAAUCUGCUACUCGUCAACGAGGGAGAUCGUGGUUCAAGGGUUUAGUCUACCCCGAAGAUACCAUCUCAAAGUAGUAUCGACAGUGGGUCCCCUUAAAUAAUUAUAUGGGCGCCCUUUUAUUCCUCUUUUGAAGGUAAGAGAGAAAGUUAGCAGGAAGAAAAAUCAACCAAGCAACA
RNAcentral lists this long non-coding RNA (212 nucleotides) under Elaeis guineensis (African oil palm). RNAcentral describes it as "long non-coding RNA (EGUI_LNC029427)". The record is from RNAcentral. Lineage: Eukaryota; Viridiplantae; Streptophyta; Magnoliopsida; Arecales; Arecaceae.